CCAGACUCCUACGGGAGGCAGCAGUGGGGGAUAUUGCACAAUGGGGGAAACCCUGAUGCAGCGACGCCGCGUGGGUGAAGAAGCGCCUCGGCGCGUAAAGCCCUGUCAGCAGGGAAGAAAAUGACGGUACCUGAAGAAGAAGCCCCGGCUAACUACGUGCCAGCAGCCGCGGUAAUACGUAGGGGGCAAGCGUUAUCCGGAUUUACUGGGUGUAAAGGGGGCGCAGACGGCGAUGCAAGCCAGGAGUGAAAGCCCGGGGCUCAACCCCGGGUCUGCAUUGGAAACUGUCGAGCUAGAGUGUCGGAGGGGUAAGUGGAAUUCCUAGUGUAGCGGUGAAAUGCGUAGAUAUUAGGAGGAACGCCAGUGGCGAAGGCGGCUUACUGGACGAUGACUGACGCUGAGGCUCGAAAGCGUGGGGAGCAAACAGGAUUAGAUACCCCUGUA
This 444-nucleotide ribosomal RNA is filed under the name uncultured bacterium. RNAcentral's name for it is "bacterial SSU rRNA". It matches the Rfam family "Bacterial small subunit ribosomal RNA", at positions 331 to 792 of the family's 1533-position model. The record is from RNAcentral.